RNAcentral lists this ribosomal RNA (253 nucleotides) under uncultured bacterium. RNAcentral describes it as "partial 16S ribosomal RNA". It matches the Rfam family "Bacterial small subunit ribosomal RNA", at positions 524 to 776 of the family's 1533-position model. The record is from RNAcentral.
UACGUAGGGUGCAAGCGUUGUCCGGAAUUAUUGGGCGUAAAGAGCUCGUAGGCGGCCUGCUAAGUCGAACGUGAAAUCCCCGGGCUCAACCCGGGAACUGCGUCCGAUACUGGUGGGCUUGAAUCCGGGAGAGGGAUGUGGAAUUCCAGGUGUAGCGGUGAAAUGCGUAGAUAUCUGGAGGAACACCGGUGGCGAAGGCGGCAUCCUGGACCGGUAUUGACGCUGAGGCGCGAAAGCUAGGGGAGCAAACGGG